RNAcentral lists this long non-coding RNA (238 nucleotides) under Brassica napus (rape). Its description in RNAcentral is "long non-coding RNA (BNAP_LNC026878)". Lineage: Eukaryota; Viridiplantae; Streptophyta; Magnoliopsida; Brassicales; Brassicaceae. The record is from RNAcentral.
GGUGAACUAACCCCAUGAAUUCGGUUAUACCUCGUUGGUAUUCUUCCGUAAGCAAUCUCGUGUUCGGAUCCAAAUGAGGUCGAUCGAUCCAAGAACGAAAAUAAUUUGAAGAAGACAUAUUUUUUUAUGAAUCAAAUUCGUGUGUAAAUAGAGUAAGAGGGAGGAUGAAGAUAUGGAGUGAAUGAAGAGGAAGAGGAGUGCUUGUAUUUAUAGGUUAAAUCCUGCCGACAAACCGAGG